Molecule: long non-coding RNA, 592 nt
Organism: Leucoraja erinaceus (little skate)
Lineage: Eukaryota; Metazoa; Chordata; Chondrichthyes; Rajiformes; Rajidae
Exons: 2
Source: RefSeq, a predicted model, not a curated record
AGUGAGGUGGGUUUCAUCAUCCGCUUCUGUGCCAGAGUCCUCUUCCGCUCUGAGAAUACCACUCCCUGGUGAGUGAAAACAAAGCCGCCUUUAAAUUGAGAUGGACAACAACGUCGUCCUUUGACCUUAAGACCAGAGAGAGCCCGCAGGAGGUCGAGUCCCAUCGCGCCAACACCAAGACGUAAAGCACCUGGGGUGCUGCCACAACAGAGAAGUAAUCGCGCUGUCACCUCUUGUUGCUGCAUCCCAUGUCACCAGAGGUUUCAUGCAAAGCCCAGCCUCUCCUGCCGUGCACAGAGAAGCAAUCUCGGAGGAGCAGCAAGGGUCACAGGCCUCUGCAGCUCUGUAACGCGGGGAAUGUGAAUGGAUGAGAUUGCUCCAGGGCUGUCCACAGCCUCCCUCAAUGUGGCUGGAUACACAUCGGUGGAUGUAAAUGUCACAGUUCUGCUCAAGAGUCAAGACUGUUUUAUUGUCAUGUGUCCCAGAUAGAACAAUGAAAUUCUUACUUGCUGCAGCACAACGGAAUAUGUAAACAUAGCACACUGUAAACAAUAUGCUAAACGAUAAAUAAAAAGUAGAAUAUGUGUAUAUA